GACGAACCGUGCGAACGUUGUUCGGAUUCACUGGGCUUAAAGGGCGCGUAGGCGGCGACACAAGUCGGGGGUGAAAUCUUUCGGCCCAACCGGAAAAUAGCUUUCGAUACUGUGUUGCUCGAGGGAGGUAGGGGCACGCGGAACUUCCGGUGGAGCGGUGAAAUGCGUAGAUAUCGGAAGGAACGCCGGUGGCGAAAGCGGCGUGCUGGAUCUCCACUGACGCUGAGGCGCGAAAGCCAGGGGAGCAAACGGG
Molecule: ribosomal RNA, 253 nt
Filed under: uncultured bacterium
Lineage: Bacteria
Description: partial 16S ribosomal RNA
Rfam family: Bacterial small subunit ribosomal RNA
Source: RNAcentral